This 4872-nucleotide long non-coding RNA is filed under the name Sus scrofa (pig). RNAcentral's name for it is "lncRNA (ENSSSCG00000061742.1)". Lineage: Eukaryota; Metazoa; Chordata; Mammalia; Artiodactyla; Suidae. The record is from RNAcentral.
AUUCCCGACAUAUUUUGGUAUGAGGCUCUAGGAUUUGUCAAACCACACUGGAAUUCACCAUUUAUAAAGGGGCUGGAACCUUAGAAUUUUCGUUUUCAAUAAGCCAGUUUUUAAAAGGAAUUCUCCCCACCAGAAGUGCAUUUCACAAUCAGGGACGACACCUCUUUCAGAGCUCAGAGCUAAACCACUGCGUGAAAAUACGUACUUGAAAUAUGUCAGAGGGGAACAGUUUCAGACACACACACACCACAUACAUAUACACAUGCAUAAAUAUACAUAUACGCAUGUGCACAUAUAGAUGCAUGUACACAUACAUAAAUACACACAUAGAGUACACAUGUGCAUGCAUGCAUACACACAUGUGAACAUACGUGUACACAUGGAUAAACACAUGCAUAUACACACAUAGACAUACACAUGCAUAUACGCAUAUACAAUACACAUAUAUACACAUACUUACAGGUACAUAAGUGCUUAUUACUGUGAAAGUGACACAAUGUGUAGCUUAGUUAUUAAAGGUGGACACCCUUGUAACCACCACCAUGGAAGGAGCUAGAUUUGCCAAGUACCUCCGGAGCCCUCCACCUGUCUCUUCCCAAACACAACCUCUGCCCUGCUACCCACAAGAGGAGCCACUAUCCUGACAUUUAUGGUAAUCAACUGUUUGCUUUUCUUUGUCGUUUCUCACCCAAACGUUAGAGUUAGCAUUGUCUAUUCUUAUUUUUUAAUAUCCUUUAGAUCUCUUUCCUCUAUAAUUUUGUCUGUUCAUUUCCGUUUCCCUCCAUUGCUCUUUAUUUCCUGGGGAAACCAGGUCAUCUCUUGUGGACUUUGCCUCAGCCUGUGCUACCUCCCACAGUGUGCUUUCACGUCUGUGUCUCCAGCAAACUGGCUGCAGAUCCAGAGGCUUAAUCACAUACAGACCUGGUUGUUUGGGGGAAGACGUCUUUUUAGGUGGUGUCGUGUUCUUCAUCGAAAGAUCCGCACUAUCUAAUUUUCUCUUUAUUUGUGGAAAUAGCCACCGACUCUCAGUGCCUACAUCUUUAAUUCAUUAGGAGUAAAUGGUGAUAUUCUAAUUCCUUCAUUCUGUCUUCAUUUAUCUGUUGAAAUAUUUCUAUACAAAGAAAUUUCUCUUCUAUGAUUUGGUUGACUGGUGGUAUGGUUUGUAGAAAAAAGGAUAAAUGCUUGGGACUUCAUUUUAUUUACCAGUGGUCAACAAAAAGAGACAGAUCUGUAGCAUUCUUCCAGAACCAUCCUAUUAAUGUUUUCUCUCAUUAGGAACUCAUGAAUACAAACACAUUUGACCAGUUUCAAUGUAUCAUUUAGUUGUGAUUUACAAUCUCUAUUAGGAGAAUGUUUUCUGGCUACACAAUGGCCAAAACUACACCUAUACAGAUGUGAUCCCAGGAAUGUGGAGCAAAACCAAAGGGGUCUGAAGGUUUCUACCCGUCCACCUCUGAUCCUUGAAAGUCCUGUGGCCACAGGAGAGAAGGUGGCAGAUUAGAGUGAGUCCAGGUUUCAGAGUGGCAGGGGACCUGGGUUUGAAUCUUGGCUGUUACUCCCUAGCUGUGUGACCUCGUAUUUCUUCCUAAACCUCUCUGAAACUCCGUUUUCCUCAUCUGUAAAGGUGAGAGGAACAAUGUUUGCCUUAGUUGUACGUGUUGGUUGAGAAUAUGCACCAAGCACAUGGCCCAGUGUCUGGCCCAGUGUCUGACCCAGAGUAGGGAUUUGAUACAAGUUCCUUCCCUUGCCUGACCUUCCCUGCAAAGCAGUGAGAAGGCAAGCCUGAGAAAUGCCCAUCCCUUUGGAAAAAAGUUGCUCAAAGAUUUCAGCCCAGUGCACGUAGUUAUUUUUUUUUUCUUCUCUGUCUUCUUUUUUGUUUUCACCUAAAGGAACUUUUCAUUAUUGUCAUUCAGUAAGAUGUACUUUCAUUCUGUUUGUUUUCUGAGGCAAGUUAACUGGUAAUUCCUAGAAGCUUCUUAACUGUCACACAAACCAGCUUCUCCAGCUUUUGAAGAGGGUGGUCUUAACUAGAGUGCCAUGUGCCUCCCAGGAAGAAGAGAGGCACCCCUACUUUCAUCUCAUUGAAAGGAUUCCAGCUUCUAGGGAGGGCAGUUUUCUCUGGCUUUAUUUCAGAAAUGAUGUGACAGUUGUCAGCCCUGAUCUCCCCAACACAUGCAUGCACACAUCCCACCUCUCACCUUGCUCUUUUGUUUCCCCUUAAGACUCCUGUAAAAACCCAGUGUGCUGUUUUUCAUGUUCUGUGUUUCCCCAAAUUGUUCCUUUUCACUUGUGUAGCUUAGCUUAAAAAUUGCCAUUUAUUGGGAGUUCCCACUGUGGUGCAGUGGAAAUGAAUCCAACUAGUAUCCAUGAGAAUGCAGGUUCAAUAGCUGGCCUCACUCAGUGGGUUAAGGAUCCGGCAUUGCCGUGAGCUAUAGUGUAGGUUGCAGACAUGGCUCAGCUCUGGCAUUGCUGUGGCUGUAGCUGUGGCUGUGGCCAGCAGCUGCAGCUCAGAUUCAACCCUUGGCCUGGGAACUUCCAUGUGCCGUAAGCGUGGCCCUUAAAAAAAAAAAAAAAUGUUUUCAAAGAGAAAGAAAUUCUCUCUAGGAAUAGGAAAGUUGUAUGAAACCAGAUGCAGCUGAGUAGGGCCCAACUCGUGGUUUCCCCAAGCUGGAUGACUGGAUGACAUCUAUCUACCUGUAGGAAAGGAGAAUUCUGAGGCAUUCUGCUGUAGAGACAAAAAACCUCAUCAACGCUUAUGUUUGUUCGUGAGCGUAGUAGGAAGUCAUUUCAUUUGUGAAGGCCUGAUGGUGCAGUAGGGUUUAAGUGAAGCUGUGCAGAAAGUCGGGUGCAUGUUUGCCUCUGAUCCUAAGGAAGGCUAAGAACACGCUUCUACUCCCAGUUUAUAAAAUAGAAAACCUAGGCUCAGAGAGGUGAACCAGGGUCCCAGAGCUGCUCCAGCAGAACUGCCACUCAGCUGCUCCCACUCCCCACCCAGUGGUGUUUUUGUCACCCCAUUCUAGGCCUCCAGUUCUCCCAAGGAAGCACCUUCACACAUGCCUUGCUCCCCACUGAGAGGUCUCCUGGCCUCUGCACUUGAACUUCCCACUGACGCAGGCACUUGAAUCCAAUCACUUACCCUUUCAGUCAACCCAUCAUGCAGUGUAUUCAUUCAAUUCUAAGUACUUUUUCAGUACCUAGGGUUUGUCAAGCACUGUGCGCCAGUGUUGUAGCAAACAAAAUGCUCUCAAGGUGCUUAUAGUCAAAUGGAAGAAUAAUUUAGAUAUAGGUAUACACAUAUAAUAUGUUUUAUGUCUGAUGUUUCCUAUUAAAAUUGACUCAACAAUCUUCUCUCCUGAAAGGAAAUUAAUACAACUAAAGCCCCUGGGUAAGAAAGUCCAUGUAUACCCAUACAUCAUGUUGUAGUAAAGAGUAAGGAAGUCUCAAGUAACUUUCUUUUCAUAUUCAGUUACUACUGUAAUAAAGAAAGAAGAGCGCGUCCAAGCAGAGAGUUGGAGAAUAAGCACUUAACUGCUCUGAGUUGUUGGGUCAGAGCCAUUUUGUCUUUACAAUUUAACAUCACACUAAUGUGUUGUUUGGGCUGUAAAAUCAACAAUGUGCUUUACAGAACUUAAUGCAUCUCUUGGUGUGCAGACAAAGAUCUAAGAGGGUUUGUUCCUUUUUGUUGCAUCUCACUUGCCAGCCAGCUGCACGUUGCCCUCUCCUCCCUCCCACAUCCCAAACCCAUGUUCACAGAGUCUUCAAAUAAAGCAUGCUUUUGUUUUUGAAAAUGGUCUUUUCUGGACAAUUGAGUUGGCUCAUGAAAUCCACAACUUCAAGGCUUCGGGAAGUCCCGUUAAGUUUGUCAAAGAGUGUACCCCUGAAUGGUUUUAGAAUGCAGGCUUCUACAUGUUCACCCUGCCAACUCAUCCAAGGUUUUAGGAUUCAUACAAAGAGAGCCAAGUGUGAUCCUUGAAAUGGAAAAAAUAUUAAUCUAGGAUCAAAAAUAAAAGUAUAUCUAUAUAAUGCAGCACACAUAUCUCAUUUUAAAGCUAUUGUUACUAAGCUCAAAGAAGACAUUUGAGAAGAGUGUGUUGAUUUGACUUCAUUUUUUUCUAUAGACAAUUUGAAUAGGGAUAUAAGAUUAUCUUAAUGCAUCUGUAUCCUCUUACAUAACAAGAAAUCCAUUAUUUAACAUGUUUUGUGAAACCCUUGUGUGCAGCCAUUGAUUAAAUAUUGUAUUUGAACUGCCUUCGGACUCUUUCACCAUAACUCUAGCUCAACCAGUCCUUUUGACAGCUGUAUUUCCCUAACUGCAUGGUUCAGCAGACACUACUAAUAGACAAUUUUCUUCUGUUUAGCAAAACAGAAAAACUUUUCUGUGUAUAAGAAUUCAUCUGGCAAUAGAAUUAAUCUUAGCUGCUGUAUUUUUAACCAAUAUUUAGCAGUUACCAAAAUUCUCUUGAUCACUAUUGUGAGUCUUUUGAAGAAAGCACUAUAUACAAGAAAGAGAACUAACUUAUCCUGAGGUUACAAGACCCACAUUCAAAAGCUAACUCAACCAUUUAUUCCUUAUUUGAUAUUGGACAGUCAGCUCUUAAGUGGAGAUGGUCGUUCAUGGUCUUGACUAUAUAAUGGGGUCACUGAUGCAGGUCAAGUGAGAUGAAUAAAUAGCACUUGAAAAAGUGUAAAGCAAUGAAUUAUGUAAGACAUUAUUAUCUUUAGGUUUUGUUUUUUUCCACUUCUCACACACAAACACACACACACAUACAAUGCUUAACAGCUCUGCAGAUCUAUUCCUUUUUAGUUGUAAUUUAUGCUCCACUUCCAAAAAAGUGUUUUAAAGAGCCUAUAUGAUACAAGACACAGACAUAA